RNAcentral lists this ribosomal RNA (433 nucleotides) under uncultured bacterium. RNAcentral describes it as "partial 16S ribosomal RNA". It matches the Rfam family "Bacterial small subunit ribosomal RNA", at positions 29 to 507 of the family's 1533-position model. The record is from RNAcentral.
AACGAACGCUGGCGGCAGGCUUAACACAUGCAAGUCGAGCGAGACCUUCGGGUCUAGCGGCGGACGGGUGAGUAACGCGUGGGAACGUGCCCUUCUCUACGGAAUAGCCCCGGGAAACUGGGAGUAAUACCGUAUACGCCCUUUGGGGGAAAGAUUUAUCGGAGAAGGAUCGGCCCGCGUUGGAUUAGGUAGUUGGUGGGGUAAUGGCCCACCAAGCCGACGAUCCAUAGCUGGUUUGAGAGGAUGUUCAGCCACACUGGGACUGAGACACGGCCCAGACUCCUACGGGAGGCAGCAGUGGGGAAUCUUAGACAAUGGGGGCAACCCUGAUAGAGCCAUGCCGCGUGAGUGAUGAAGGCCUUAGGGUUGUAAAGCUCUUUCAGCUGGGAAGAUAAUGACGGUACCAGCAGAAGAAGCCCCGGCUAACUCCGUG